This 479-nucleotide ribosomal RNA is filed under the name uncultured bacterium. RNAcentral's name for it is "partial 16S ribosomal RNA". It matches the Rfam family "Bacterial small subunit ribosomal RNA", at positions 28 to 507 of the family's 1533-position model. The record is from RNAcentral.
GAUGAACGCUAGCGGGAGGCCUAACACAUGCAAGCCGAGCGGUAUGGAUAGCUUGCUAUCCAGAGAGCGGCGUACGGGUGCGUAACACGUGUGCAACCUACCUUUAUCUGGGGGAUAGCCUUUCGAAAGGAAGAUUAAUACCCCAUAAUAUAAUGAUUGGCAUCAAUUAUUAUUGAAAACUCCGGUGGAUAGAGAUGGGCACGCGCAAGAUUAGAUAGUUGGUGAGGUAACGGCUCACCAAGUCAAUGAUCUUUAGGGGUCCUGAGAGGGAGAUCCCCCACAAUGGUACUGAGACACGGACCAGACUCCUACGGGACGCAGCAGUGAGGAAUAUUGGACAAUGGGUGAGAGCCUGAUCCAGCCAUCCCGCGUGAAGGAGGACGGUCCUAGGGAUUGUAAACUUCUUUUGUACAGGGAUAAACCUACCCUCGUGAGGGUAGCUGAAGGUACUGUACGAAUAAGCACCGGCUAACUCCGUG